RNAcentral lists this ribosomal RNA (483 nucleotides) under uncultured bacterium. RNAcentral's name for it is "partial 16S ribosomal RNA". It matches the Rfam family "Bacterial small subunit ribosomal RNA", at positions 28 to 507 of the family's 1533-position model. The record is from RNAcentral.
GACGAACGCUGGCGGCGUGCUUAACACAUGCAAGUCGAACGCUGAAGCUCAGCUUUUGUUGGGUGGAUGAGUGGCGAACGGGUGAGUAACACGUGAGUAACCUGCCCCCUUCUUUGGGAUAACGCCCGGAAACGGGUGCUAAUACUGGAUAUUCACUGGUCUUCGCAUGGGGGUUGGUGGAAAGGGUUUUUCUGGUGGGGGAUGGGCUCGCGGCCUAUCAGCUUGUUGGUGGGGUGAUGGCCUACCAAGGCUUUGACGGGUAGCCGGCCUGGGAGGGUGACCGGUCACAUUGGGACUGAGAUACGGCCCAGACUCCGACGGGAGGCAGCAGUGGGGAAUAUUGCACAAUGGGCGCAAGCCUGAUGCAGCGACGCCGCGUGAGGGAUGGAGGCCUUCGGGUUGUGAACCUCUUUCGCUCAUGGUCAAGCCGCAACAAUGGUUGUGGUGAGGGUAGUGGGUAAAGAAGCGCCGGCUAACUACGUG